CCUACGUGUGGCAGCAGUGGGGAAUAUUGGACAAUGGGCGCAAGCCUGAUCCAGCCAUGCCGCGUGUGUGAAGAAGGCCUUCGGGUUGUAAAGCACUUUCAGUAGGGAGGAAGGGUGUUGUGUUAAUAGCACAGCAUUUUGACGUUACCCACAGAAGAAGCACCGGCUAACUCCGUGCCAGCAGCCGCGGUAAUACGGAGGGUGCAAGCGUUAAUCGGAAUUACGGGGCGUAAAGCGCACGCAGACGGCUUUUUAAGUCGGAUGUGAAAGCCCCGGGCUCAACCUGGGAAUUGCAUCUGAUACUGGGAAGCUAGAGUAUGUGAGAGGGGGGUAGAAGGCCAAGUGUAGCGGUGAAAUGCGUAGAGAUGUGGAGGAAUACCAGUGGCGAAGGCGGCCCCCUGGCACAAUACUGACGCUCAGGUGCGAAAGCGUGGGGAGCAAACAGGAUUAGAUACCCUUGUAGUC
RNAcentral lists this ribosomal RNA (465 nucleotides) under uncultured Rheinheimera sp. RNAcentral describes it as "bacterial SSU rRNA". It matches the Rfam family "Bacterial small subunit ribosomal RNA", at positions 338 to 795 of the family's 1533-position model. The record is from RNAcentral. Lineage: Bacteria; Pseudomonadati; Pseudomonadota; Gammaproteobacteria; Chromatiales; Chromatiaceae.